This 509-nucleotide ribosomal RNA is filed under the name Acaulospora sp. RNAcentral describes it as "SSU rRNA". It matches the Rfam family "Eukaryotic small subunit ribosomal RNA", at positions 569 to 1078 of the family's 1831-position model. Lineage: Eukaryota; Fungi; Glomeromycota; Glomeromycetes; Diversisporales; Acaulosporaceae. The record is from RNAcentral.
AGCAGCCGCGGUAAUUCCAGCUCCAAUAGCGUAUAUUAAAGUUGUUGCAGUUAAAAGCUCGUAGUUGAAUUUCGGGAUUUGUCAGUUGGUCGGGCUUCACUGUCCGUACUGACUUGAUGGAUUCUUACCUUCUGAAUAACCAGCAUGCUAUUUAGUUAGUGCGUUGGGGAAGCAGAUCUAUUACCUUGAAAAAAUUAGAGUGCUUAAAGCGGGCUAGUGCUUGAAUAGAUUAGCAUGGAAUAAUAAAAUAGGACGGCAUGGUUCUAUUUUGUUGGUUUCUAGGAUCACCGUAAUGAUUAAUAGGGAUAGUUGGGGGCAUUAGUAUUCAAUUGUCAGAGGUGAAAUUCUUGGAUUUAUUGAAGACUAACUUCUGCGAAAGCAUUUGCCAAGGAUGUUUUCAUUAAUCAAGAACGAAAGUUAGGGGAUCGAAGACGAUCAGAUACCGUCGUAGUCUUAACCAUAAACUAUGCCGACUAGGAAUCGGACGAAGUUAAUUUUAUAAUGACUCG